UCCUCGGUAGCUCAACGGUAGAGCGUUCGGCUGUUAACCGAAAUGUUGGGGGUUCGAAUCCCUCCCGAGGAGCCA
Molecule: transfer RNA, 75 nt
Filed under: Acidobacteriota bacterium
Lineage: Bacteria; Pseudomonadati; Acidobacteriota
Also listed under: 4 other names
Description: Acidobacteria bacterium (sponge metagenome) tRNA-Asn
Rfam family: tRNA
About the family: Transfer RNA (tRNA) molecules are approximately 80 nucleotides in length. Their secondary structure includes four short double-helical elements and three loops (D, anti-codon, and T loops).
Source: RNAcentral